UACGGAGGGGGCAAGCGUUGUUCGGAAUUACUGGGCGUAAAGGGCGCGCAGGCGGCUGCUCAAGUCAGGCGUGAAAGGCCUGGGCUCAACCCGGGAAUUGCGCUUGAGACUGGGCUGGCUUGAGUGCGGGAGAGGAUGGUGGAAUUCCCAGUGUAGAGGUGAAAUUCGUAGAUAUUGGGAAGAACACCGGUGGCGAAGGCGGCCAUCUGGACCGCAACUGACGCUGAGGAGCGAAAGCGUGGGGAGCGAACAGG
This 254-nucleotide ribosomal RNA is filed under the name uncultured bacterium. RNAcentral's name for it is "partial 16S ribosomal RNA". It matches the Rfam family "Bacterial small subunit ribosomal RNA", at positions 524 to 776 of the family's 1533-position model. The record is from RNAcentral.